UGCCAAGUUCAUCUCUGACUGACUCGGUGU
RNAcentral lists this non-coding RNA (30 nucleotides) under Rattus norvegicus (Norway rat). The record is from RNAcentral. Lineage: Eukaryota; Metazoa; Chordata; Mammalia; Rodentia; Muridae.